GAUGAACGCUGGCGGCGUGCCUAAUACAUGCAAGUCGAGCGAACAGACCAGGAGCUUGCUCCUCUGACGUUAGCGGCGGACGGGUGAGUAACACGUGGAUAACCUACCUAUCAGACUGGUAUAACUUCGGGAAACCGGCUCUAAUACCAGAGAAUAUAUUGAUCCGCAUUGUUCAAUAGUAAAAUACGGCUGUGCUGUCUCUUCUAGCGGGAUCUGGGCCGCUUUGGCUAGUUGGUAAGUUCACGGCUUAUCAAGGCGAGGAUGCGUAAACGAACGGAGAGGGUGGUCGGCCACACUGGAACGGAGACAGGGUCAAGACUCCUACGGGAGGCAGCAGUAGGGAAUCUGCCGCAGUGGGCGAGAGCAUGACGGAGCGACGCCGCGUGAGUGAUGAAGGUCUUCGGAGCGUGAAGCUCGGUUAUUAGGGAAGAACCACUGUGUAAGUAACUAUGCACGUCUUGACGGUAACUAAUCAGAAAGCCACGGCUAACUACGUG
This 497-nucleotide ribosomal RNA is filed under the name uncultured bacterium. Its description in RNAcentral is "partial 16S ribosomal RNA". It matches the Rfam family "Bacterial small subunit ribosomal RNA", at positions 28 to 507 of the family's 1533-position model. The record is from RNAcentral.